UGGGGAAUUUUGGACAAUGGGCGAAAGCCUGAUCCAGCAAUGCCGCGUGUGUGAAGAAGGCCUUCGGGUUGUAAAGCACUUUUGUCCGGAAAGAAAUGGCUCUGGUUAAUACCUGGGGUCGAUGACGGUACCGGAAGAAUAAGGACCGGCUAACUACGUGCCAGCAGCCGCGGUAAUACGUAGGGUCCAAGCGUUAAUCGGAAUUACUGGGCGUAAAGCGUGCGCAGGCGGUUGUGCAAGACCGAUGUGAAAUCCCCGAGCUUAACUUGGGAAUUGCAUUGGUGACUGUACGGCUAGAGUGUGUCAGAGGGGGGUAGAAUUCCACGUGUAGCAGUGAAAUGCGUAGAGAUGUGGAGGAAUACCGAUGGCGAAGGCAGCCCCCUGGGAUAACACUGACGCUCAUGCACGAAAGCGUGGGGAGCAAACAUG
RNAcentral lists this ribosomal RNA (429 nucleotides) under Bacillota bacterium. RNAcentral describes it as "Firmicutes bacterium partial 16S ribosomal RNA". It matches the Rfam family "Bacterial small subunit ribosomal RNA", at positions 355 to 776 of the family's 1533-position model. Lineage: Bacteria; Bacillati; Bacillota. The record is from RNAcentral.